UGGAAAUAAUGAAACAAACAAACAAAUAGUAAUUAAAUUAAACAGUACAAUGCAGAAGGGAGUAGACAAGUGGCUGUCUCAUAUUUGGGUCCAGGGUCCUUAGAAGAGUGUGUGUGUGUGUGUGUGUGUGUGUGUGUGGAAUAGAUGCACUGAGCUAUUUCUGAUCUCCAU
Molecule: non-coding RNA, 171 nt
Organism: Podarcis lilfordi (Lilford's wall lizard)
Lineage: Eukaryota; Metazoa; Chordata; Lepidosauria; Squamata; Lacertidae
Source: the annotation of a GenBank genome assembly